Molecule: small nucleolar RNA, 145 nt
Filed under: Henningerozyma blattae CBS 6284
Lineage: Eukaryota; Fungi; Ascomycota; Saccharomycetes; Saccharomycetales; Saccharomycetaceae
Description: Tetrapisispora blattae CBS 6284 Small nucleolar RNA snR80
Rfam family: Small nucleolar RNA snR80
Source: Rfam by way of RNAcentral
GAACGUUCAAUACACUCAGGUUUCUAGUUUUCUCUUCCGUAUUAGAAUCCUAUUUAUAUGAUUGAACAAGAUUAAUUGGCUUUUACUCAACAAGAUAACCUUUUUCCAUGGUUUUAUUGUUCCAUUAUUUCACUUUGUCAUACAA